RNAcentral lists this ribosomal RNA (427 nucleotides) under uncultured bacterium. RNAcentral describes it as "partial 16S ribosomal RNA". It matches the Rfam family "Bacterial small subunit ribosomal RNA", at positions 355 to 774 of the family's 1533-position model. The record is from RNAcentral.
UGGGGAAUAUUGCACAAUGGGCGCAAGCCUGAUGCAGCCAUGCCGCGUGUAUGAAGAAGGCCUUCGGGUUGUAAAGUACUUUCAGCGGGGAGGAAGGGAGUAAAGUUAAUACCUUUGCUCAUUGACGUUACCCGCAGAAGAAGCACCGGCUAACUCCGUGCCAGCAGCCGCGGUAAUACGGAGGGUGCAAGCGUUAAUCGGAAUUACUGGGCGUAAAGCGCACGCAGGCGGUUUGUUAAGUCAGAUGUGAAAUCCCCGGUCUCAACCUGGGAACUGCAUCUGAUACUGGCAAGCUUGAGUCUCGUAGAGGGGGGUAGAAUUCCAGGUGUAGCGGUGAAAUGCGUAGAGAUCUGGAGGAAUGCCGGUGGCGAAGGCGGCCCCCUGGACGAAGACUGACGCUCAGGUGCGAAAGCGUGGGGAGCAAACA